GUUAUAUGGUCAAGUGACCAAGCGUGCACGGUGGAUGCCUUGGCAGUCAGAGGCGAUGAAGGACGUGGUAAUCUGCGAAAAGGUUCGGGGAGUCGAUAAACAGGCUUUGAUCCGAACAUGUCCGAAUGGGGAAACCCACUCUACUUGUAGAGUAUCCCACAGUGAAUACAUAGCUGUGUGGAGGCGAACCCGGGGAACUGAAACAUCUAAGUACCCGGAGGAAAAGAAAUCAACCGAGAUUCCCUAAGUAGCGGCGAGCGAAAGGGGAUUAGCCCUUAAGUGGUUUUGGUGUUAGUAGAAGGCUCUGGAAAGUGCCGCAAUAGAGGGUGAUAGCCCCGUAUACGAAAACACCUUAAUCAUGAAAACGAGUAGGACGGGACACGUGUUAUCCUGUCUGAAUAUGGGGGGACCAUCCUCCAAGGCUAAAUACUCCUGACUGACCGAUAGUGAACCAGUACCGUGAGGGAAAGGCGAAAAGAACCCCUGUGAGGGGAGUGAAAUAGAUCCUGAAACCGUGUACGUACAAGCAGUGGGAGCGGACUUGUUCCGUGACUGCGUACCUUUUGUAUAAUGGGUCAACGACUUAUUUUCAGUAGCAAGGUUAAGCG
RNAcentral lists this ribosomal RNA (608 nucleotides) under Marinomonas sp. BSi20584. Its description in RNAcentral is "bacterial LSU rRNA". It matches the Rfam family "Bacterial large subunit ribosomal RNA", at positions 1 to 652 of the family's 2925-position model. Lineage: Bacteria; Pseudomonadati; Pseudomonadota; Gammaproteobacteria; Oceanospirillales; Oceanospirillaceae. The record is from RNAcentral.